UUCGACCUGAACUCAGACGUGGUUACCCGCUGA
Molecule: ribosomal RNA, 33 nt
Filed under: Hemicriconemoides californianus
Lineage: Eukaryota; Metazoa; Nematoda; Chromadorea; Rhabditida; Criconematidae
Description: partial 28S ribosomal RNA
Source: RNAcentral